GUGCCAGCAGCCGCGGUAAGACGGAGGGUGCUAGCGUUGUUCGGAAUUACUGGGCGUAAAGGGCGCGUAGGCGGCCGCUUAAGUCGGGUGUGAAAGCCCGGGGCUCAACCCCGGAACUGCAUCCGAGACUGGGUGGCUGGAGACCGGGAGAGGAGAGUGGAAUACCCAGUGUAGAGGUGAAAUUCGUAGAUAUUGGGUGGAACACCGGUGGCGAAAGCGGCUCUCUGGCCCGGUUCUGACGCUGAGGCGCGAAAGCGUGGGGAGCAAACAGGAUUAGAAACCCCCGUAGUCC
Molecule: ribosomal RNA, 292 nt
Filed under: uncultured bacterium
Lineage: Bacteria
Description: partial 16S ribosomal RNA
Rfam family: Bacterial small subunit ribosomal RNA
Source: RNAcentral